UCAUCCUCUCUCCACCGAAUUUUUUGGCCUGCGCUCCCGCCACCGCGAGAUGACUCUGCGUCUCCGCCCUCAGCGCCACGGUGUUAUCGGGCCAUCGCGCUUGCGCGCCAUCCUAAACACUCCCCGCAAACGUCGCCCUCCACCCACCCCUCUAGAUUAAGCCCACCCUUCCUCCAAGCUCCCAAUCCACCCUUUCUCCAAGCCUCCCAGGGCCAGCCGUGAUCCCCUCCACCGUGCCACUACCGACGGUACCCCCCCCCCACUCCCUGACGCAGCCAGUCCUCCUCGCCGGGUGCACCCAUCUCCGUCGUUGUCCACUCUUCCGGCGGCAUCACCACCCAGUUGCGCCACCCGGUCGUCAUCCCUUCUACCACCGCUGCAAGGUGCAGACUCUGCUCACAAUGCACAGCUCCACCGUGCCCCGGUCACUAUUCCUCUCAGUCGCGUGCCUUCCUCCCUUCAAGGCUUCAACUGACGUCGCCGUGCUCUCUUCUGCCUCGCGUUGCUUGAAUGGGCAAAGGCUGCUUCGAUCCACGCAGUAUUCACCGUCAGAUUACUUUUUGAAUAAUCGGUGAAAAGAAGACCAGCUCUGGCGCCUACCAAUGCACAGCUUGAGCAGAGCAGCGAUGAGGACCAGAUACAUUCGACAGGCGGAGAACAAUGCACAACGGCUAUGGCAGAUGCGGCUGAGAGGAUGAGACCUCAUUCCCGAUCUAGCUGCAAGCUGCAUGUGGCUGAUGCAAUCUCCUCCGCAUCCGUUUGCUGCGUCUCCGGCCCUCCGCAGCCCGCCCAUGCAACUUUGGCGCAUGGUACUCUGGCAGCCACAACAAUUAAUUUGCGUCGCUCAGUGGUGAUGACUGACGAGUAAGAUUGAGAUAGAUCAGAUCAAUUUCUUUUUGCUCUUCCAAAGGCCUUAAUAAGACAUUCAAGAAGCUAGAUCAUGAUGUCAAAUAUUCCGGACUUCUUUGGCUCAGAGUAAAUUUCUGCCAGCUUAUGCUAUAACAUGGAAUAAAAAUAUACAAUAACACAAAUGUCUAUUGCAAAGAAAGAUUCUCACUCUGCAAUUCUUUUGAAUCUAUUGUAUAUUUGCAGGGGUCAGAUUGUCAAGGUACUUAUCAACAAUUCAAUAACGAUAUAACAACUUGUUAAAUCUCUUAUUUCCUGCUUCAUGUCUCUGAUAUUCAGAUGUUUAUUCAGUCAAUUGUUUGGAAGGAAUUGUCAAGUCACCUUGGGGCUUUGCAAUGUUAAGGGUAGAUGUCCAAAGGUGUCUUAGGUAUAUAGCUCAGUUAAGUUGUGGCACAAAUUAUCUACUCUAAUUGGAUAAAACUGCAAUAAUUAUGUAAAUAUUUAUAUUCAUUGAUGAACUCAAUAGUGGCUUGGUGGCAUAUGAUCUUAAAAGGGCCCCUUAUUCAGACAGAUCACAUUGAUGCCAAAAAUCAUGGUAGAUUCUCAUAGAUAAUAGGGAGAAAAUUAAAGGGAAUUAAUGGACAUGUAUAACAAUGUUGCAUGUUAUUCUUCAAUUAUUGGAGCGGUCCAGAGAAGGUUGAGAAUAUAUUGGCCAUAAUAAAAGAGUGAUGGAGCAAUCUCUCAAAGAAUCUCUGAAUAACAUCAGAAUUCAUAAGGAGAACUUUGCAAAGAAGCAUAUGACUACAAUGUGCUGCUGCUCAGUUCCAAUAUGAAUAGGUGACACAGACACUUCUUCAUGGUUCCAUAGCAGCGGCGGUGCGGAGGGUCAACAACCUAUGAUGCUAUCGGAAGACCCCAGCUUGCUCCAUCUAAUGGACAUUGGGUGCAGAUCUUCCUAGGCUACUUCAGCAUGAGCAAGCAGUCAAUCAACAACGCCGGCAACAAGCGCAAGCUGGAUAUUGUGACUGUCUUAAUCUAAUUAAAUCAAAAUUAGUUAUUUCUCUGCCAUUUAUUUGGUGUUAACAUAAAUAGUUCUGAUGUAUGUCCUUUUGUAUGCUUGUAAAGAAGAGAUGCCAUGUUAUCAGGAGAUGCUAAUCAGAACUCAUCUCAGAAGGGGUGUGCGGCUGUGCUAUAUCAAUUGAAAAUUGC
This is a long non-coding RNA of Oryza sativa Japonica Group (Japanese rice), 2055 nucleotides long. RefSeq lists it as uncharacterized. NCBI's taxonomy places the organism in Eukaryota, Viridiplantae, Streptophyta, Magnoliopsida, Poales, Poaceae. The record is from RefSeq and is a predicted model, not a curated record.